Molecule: ribosomal RNA, 777 nt
Filed under: uncultured Neocallimastigales
Lineage: Eukaryota; Fungi; Neocallimastigomycota; Neocallimastigomycetes; Neocallimastigales
Description: partial large subunit ribosomal RNA
Rfam family: Eukaryotic large subunit ribosomal RNA
Source: RNAcentral
UAUCUCUGUAGAGUCUGCAUAUCAAUAAGCGGAGGAAAAGAAACUAACAAGGAUUCCCUUAGUAACGGCGAGUGAAGCGGGAAGAGCUCAAAUUUGAAAUCUUCAAGGUUCUACCUUGACGAAUUGUAGUUUAAAGAGGUGUUUUCUGUUAGAUGAGUAGCAAAAGUUCCUUGGAAUGGGACAUCAUAGAGGGUGAGAAUCCCGUAUUUGGUUAUUCAUUCUAGCUUUGUGAUACACUUUCAAUGAGUCGGAUUGUUUGGGAAUGCAGUCCAAAAUGGGUGGUAAAUUUCAUCUAAAGCUAAAUAUUGGCGAGAGACCGAUAGCGAACAAGUACCGUGAGGGAAAGAUGAAAAGAACUUUGAAAAGAGAGUUAAACAGUACGUGAAAUUGUCAAAAGGGAAGCGUUUGACACCAGUGUUGUUUUUCUCGAAAAUCAAUUACGAAAUGGCUUGAUUUUGUGUUGUAUUGACCUUAUCAAGCUUUCUUCACUUUUUUCGAGUCUUUCUUAAUGCACUUUUCGGUUAACAAGUCAACAUCAAUUUCUUUUGUUGUAAAAGAGUAUUCGGAAGGUGGCUUUCUUUUCGGAGAAAGUGUUUAUAGCCCUAUACUUCUACAAUCGGAGAGAUUGAGGUCUGCAGCGUAGAUCCUUCGGGGUUAGAUACACUUGUGCUAAGUUGUAGCUUUUCAUAGACAACUUGUUGACUAUGUUUAGUCAUGCGGCUUACUCGCUUGUGCUAUUUUACCUACGCUUAGGAUGUUGACUGAUAUGUAGUCGUA